RNAcentral lists this ribosomal RNA (216 nucleotides) under Glomeromycotina sp. RNAcentral's name for it is "partial small subunit ribosomal RNA". The stretch from base 40 to 216 matches the Rfam family "Eukaryotic small subunit ribosomal RNA", at positions 686 to 864 of the family's 1831-position model. The record is from RNAcentral. Lineage: Eukaryota; Fungi; Glomeromycota.
GCGUCAGUAGGUUGGUCGUGCCACCGGUACGUACUGGUCUCACUGAUUCCUCCUUCCUGAAGAACCUUAAUGCCAUUAAUUUGGUGUUGCUGGGAAACAGGACUGUUACUUUGAAAAAAUUAGAGUGUUUAAAGCAAGCUAACGCUUGAAUACAUUAGCAUGGAAUAAUGAAAUAGGACGAUCGAUCCUAUUUUGUUGGUUUCUAGGAUUGACGUA